AUUGAACGCUGGCGGCAGGCCUAACACAUGCAAGUCGAACGGUAACAGGAAACAGCUUGCUGUUUCGCUGACGAGUGGCGGACGGGUGAGUAAUGUCUGGGAAACUGCCUGAUGGAGGGGGAUAACUACUGGAAACGGUAGCUAAUACCGCAUAACGUCGCAAGACCAAAGAGGGGGACCUUCGGGCCUCUUGCCAUCGGAUGUGCCCAGAUGGGAUUAGCUAGUAGGUGGGGUAACGGCUCACCUAGGCGACGAUCCCUAGCUGGUCUGAGAGGAUGACCAGCCACACUGGAACUGAGACACGGUCCAGACUCCUACGGGAGGCAGUAGUGGGGAAUAUUGCACAAUGGGCGCAAGCCUGAUGCAGCCAUGCCGCGUGUAUGAAGAAGGCCUUCGGGUUGUAAAGUACUUUCAGCGGGGAUGAAGGGAGUAAAGUUAAUACCUUUGCUCAUUGACGUUACCCGCAGAAGAAGCACCGGCUAACUCCGUG
This 490-nucleotide ribosomal RNA is filed under the name uncultured bacterium. Its description in RNAcentral is "partial 16S ribosomal RNA". It matches the Rfam family "Bacterial small subunit ribosomal RNA", at positions 30 to 507 of the family's 1533-position model. The record is from RNAcentral.